UGGGGGAUAUUGCACAAUGGGGGGAACCCUGAUGCAGCGACGCCGCGUGGGUGAGGGAGUACUUCGGUAUGUAAAGCCCUAUCAGCAGGGAAGAAAAUGACGGUACCUGACUAAGAAGCCCCGGCUAACUACGUGCCAGCAGCCGCGGUAAUACGUAGGGGGCAAGCGUUAUCCGGAUUCACUGGGUGUAAAGGGGGCGCAGGCGGCACGGCAAGUCUGAUGUGAAAACCCGGGGCCCAACCCCGGGACUGCAUUGGAAACUACCGGGCUGGAGUACCGGAGGGGCAAGUGGAAUUCCUAGUGUAGCGGUGAAAUGCGUAGAUAUUAGGAGGAACACCAGUGGCGAAGGCGGCUUGCUGGACGGUAACUGACGCUGAGGCCCGAAAGCGUGGGGAGCAAACAGG
RNAcentral lists this ribosomal RNA (404 nucleotides) under uncultured bacterium. Its description in RNAcentral is "bacterial SSU rRNA". It matches the Rfam family "Bacterial small subunit ribosomal RNA", at positions 355 to 776 of the family's 1533-position model. The record is from RNAcentral.